GAUGAACGCUGGCGGCGUGCCUAAUACAUGCAAGUCGAGCGAACGGACGCGAAGCUUCCUUUCCUGAUGUUAGCGGCGGACGGGUGAGUAACACGUGGAUAACCUCCCUAUACGACUGGGAUAACUUCGGGAAACCGGAGCUAAUACCGGAUAAUAUUUUGAACCGCAUUGUUCAAAAGUGAAAGACGGUCUUGCUGUCACUUAUAGAUGGAUCCGCGCUGCAUUAGCUAGUUGGUAAGGUAACGGAUUACCACGGCAACGAUGCAUAGCCGACCCGAGAGGGUGAGGCGCAACACUGGAACGGAGACACGGUCCAGACUCCUACGGGAGGCAGCAGAAGGGAAGCGUCUGCAAUGGGCGAAAGCCAGACGGAGCAACGCCGCGUGAGGGAUGAAGGUCUUCGGAUCGUGAAACACUGUUAUGAGGGAAGAACAGAUGUGAAAGUAUAUGUGCACAUCUUGACGGUACCUAAUCAGAAAGCCACGGCUAACUACGUG
RNAcentral lists this ribosomal RNA (497 nucleotides) under uncultured bacterium. RNAcentral's name for it is "partial 16S ribosomal RNA". It matches the Rfam family "Bacterial small subunit ribosomal RNA", at positions 28 to 507 of the family's 1533-position model. The record is from RNAcentral.